Molecule: long non-coding RNA, 102 nt
Organism: Alosa sapidissima (American shad)
Lineage: Eukaryota; Metazoa; Chordata; Actinopteri; Clupeiformes; Clupeidae
Exons: 3
Source: RefSeq, a predicted model, not a curated record
CACCAUGCAGUCUGCAUUCAUAAUCUAGGCUGCUUGAUUUUAUACACCUGUGUAAAGGGACCAGAUAAAACCCAUGAAUAGAUACUAAAACAAUGUGAGGGA